Molecule: transfer RNA, 26 nt
Filed under: Laimosemion geayi
Lineage: Eukaryota; Metazoa; Chordata; Actinopteri; Cyprinodontiformes; Rivulidae
Description: partial tRNA-Ile
Source: RNAcentral
UAAGGGUUAAAGCCCCUUCAUUUCCU